ACUAAGUGCGUAAGCGAUUGAAAUGGCAUCCUUUUUAUUGUCAGUUCGAGUAAAUUUGAGAAGAAUGAACAAAUUUGUAUCGAGAACAAAAUAAAAAGAUAUAAUGGAAAGCGCGGUUUUGU
Molecule: small RNA, 122 nt
Filed under: Lutibacter sp. Hel_I_33_5
Lineage: Bacteria; Pseudomonadati; Bacteroidota; Flavobacteriia; Flavobacteriales; Flavobacteriaceae
Description: Flavo-1 RNA
Rfam family: Flavo-1 RNA
Source: RNAcentral